UCUCCCCAGUACGUCCAAGGCGUUGCAAUCCAAACAAUCAACGAAUGUUCCAACAAGGAACGGAUAUUAAUCCAGACUGCAUAAGGAAGUAUCAAAUACAUAAUCUACUUGCUGUUACAAGCAUUCAGUUAAACACAUCUCAGUACACCUCAAAUCAGUUUACAUUUUACUUCCGAUUACAAUCACAAUGUAUUACAUCUUUUAUUUUACAAGUUGAUACAUCU
RNAcentral lists this long non-coding RNA (224 nucleotides) under Ananas comosus (pineapple). RNAcentral's name for it is "long non-coding RNA (ACOM_LNC042228)". The record is from RNAcentral. Lineage: Eukaryota; Viridiplantae; Streptophyta; Magnoliopsida; Poales; Bromeliaceae.